RNAcentral lists this transfer RNA (79 nucleotides) under Planctomycetota bacterium. RNAcentral's name for it is "Planctomycetes bacterium tRNA-His". It matches the Rfam family "tRNA". From Rfam's summary of the family: Transfer RNA (tRNA) molecules are approximately 80 nucleotides in length. Their secondary structure includes four short double-helical elements and three loops (D, anti-codon, and T loops). Further hydrogen bonds mediate the characteristic L-shaped molecular structure. tRNAs have two regions of fundamental functional importance: the anti-codon, which is responsible for specific mRNA codon recognition, and the 3' end, to which the tRNAs corresponding amino acid is attached (by aminoacyl-tRNA synthetases). tRNAs cope with the degeneracy of the genetic code in two manners: having more than one tRNA (with a specific anti-codon) for a particular amino acid; and 'wobble' base-pairing, i.e. permitting non-standard base-pairing at the 3rd anti-codon position. The record is from RNAcentral. Lineage: Bacteria; Pseudomonadati; Planctomycetota.
GUGCCCGUGGUGUAGAGGUCUCUGCACAUCGGUCUGUGACUCCGAAGGUGGCGGUUCAAUUCCGCUCGGGCACCCUCCA